Oncorhynchus keta (chum salmon) is the source of this 1132-nucleotide long non-coding RNA. RefSeq lists it as uncharacterized. The transcript is spliced from 3 exons. The record is from RefSeq and is a predicted model, not a curated record. NCBI's taxonomy places the organism in Eukaryota, Metazoa, Chordata, Actinopteri, Salmoniformes, Salmonidae.
ACUAGGGGUUAACACACUGUAGGGGACAACACUUAGGGUAAACACACUGUAGGGGACAACACUUAGGGUAAACACACUGUAGGGGACAACACUUAGGGUUAACAUACUGUAGGGGUUAACACACUGUAGGGGACAACACUUAGGGUUAACACACUGUAGGGGACAACACUUAGGGUUAACACACUGUAGGGGACAACACUUAGGGUUAACACACUGUAGGGGACAACACUUAGGGUUAACACACUGUAGGGGACAACACUUAGGGUUAACACACUGUAGGGGACAACACUUAGGGUUAACACACUGUAGGGGACAACACUUAGGGUUAACACACUGUAGGGGACAACACUUAGGGUUAACACACUGUAGGGGACAACACUUAGGGUUAACACACUGUAGGGGACAACACUUAGGGUUAACACACUGUAGGGGACAACACUUAGGGGACAACACUUAGGGUAAACACACUGUAGGGGACAACACUUAGGGUAAACACACUGUAGGGGACAACACUUAGGGUAAACACACUGUAGGGGACAACACUUAGGGUAAACACACUGUAGGGGACAACACUUAGGGUAAACACACUGUAGGGGACAACACUUAGGGUAAACACACUGUAGGGGACAACACUUAGGGUAAACAUACUGUAGGGGACAACACUUAGGGUAAACACACUGUAGGGGACAACACUUAGGGUAAACAUACUGUAGGGGACAACACUUAGGGUAAACAUACUGUAGGGGACAACACUUAGGGUAAACAUACUGUAGGGGACAACACUUAGGUUAAACACACUGUAGGGGACAACACUUAGGUUAAACACACUGUAGGGGACAACACUUAGGGUAAACAUACUGUAGGGGACAACACUUAGGGUUAACACACUGUAGAGGGCAACACUUAGGGUUAACAUAGUAAACACACUGUAGGGGACAACACUUAGGGUUAACAUAGUAAACACACUGUAGGGGACAACACUUAGGGUUAACACACUGUAGGGGACAACACUUAGGGUAAACACACUGUAGGGGACAACACUUAGGGUUAACAUUGUAAACACACUGUACGGGACAACACUUAGGGUUAACACACUGUAGGGGACAACACCCUCUUCCUGCCUCCUCCGGUA